Molecule: ribosomal RNA, 324 nt
Filed under: uncultured bacterium
Lineage: Bacteria
Description: bacterial SSU rRNA
Rfam family: Bacterial small subunit ribosomal RNA
Source: RNAcentral
GAUGAACGCUGGCGGCGUGCCUAACACAUGCAAGUCGAACGAAGCGUCUUAAAGGAAGUUUUCGGAUGGAAUUUGGGAUGACUGAGUGGCGGACGGGUGAGUAACGCGUGGAUAACCUGCCUCAUACAGGGGGAUAACAGCUAGAAAUGACUGCUAAUACCGCAUAAGCGCACAGUGCUGCAUGGCACAGUGUGAAAAACUCCGGUGGUAUGAGAUGGACCCGCGUCUGAUUAGCUAGUUGGUGGGGUAACGGCCUACCAAGGCGACGAUCAGUAGCCGGCCUGAGAGGGUGAACGGCCACAUUGGGACUGAGACACGGCCCAA